ACGCUCGACACCUACGAGAGGCAGCAGGUGGGGAAUAUUGGGCAAUGGGCGCAAGCCUGACCCAGCAACGCCGCGUGAAGGAAGAAGGCUUUCGGGUUGUAAACUUCUUUUGUCAGGGAACAGUAGAAGAGGGUACCUGACGAAUAAGCCACGGCUAACUACGUGUCAGCAGCCGCGGUAAUCUGAGCGGGCGUGGCAAGGC
RNAcentral lists this ribosomal RNA (202 nucleotides) under uncultured bacterium. Its description in RNAcentral is "partial 16S ribosomal RNA". It matches the Rfam family "Bacterial small subunit ribosomal RNA", at positions 328 to 538 of the family's 1533-position model. The record is from RNAcentral.